GGCUAAUACAUGCAAGUCGAGCGGACCGACGGGAGCUUGCUCCCUUAGGUCAGCGGCGGACGGGUGAGUAACACGUGGGUAACCUGCCUGUAAGACUGGGAUAACUCCGGGAAACCGGGGCUAAUACCGGAUGCUUGAUUGAACCGCAUGGUUCAAUCAUAAAAGGUGGCUUUUAGCUACCACUUACAGAUGGACCCGCGGCGCAUUAGCUAGUUGGUGAGGUAACGGCUCACCAAGGCGACGAUGCGUAGCCGACCUGAGAGGGUGAUCGGCCACACUGGGACUGAGACACGGCCCAGACUCCUACGGGAGGCAGCAGUAGGGAAUCUUCCGCAAUGGACGAAAGUCUGACGGAGCAACGCCGCGUGAGUGAUGAAGGUUUUCGGAUCGUAAAACUCUGUUGUUAGGGAAGAACAAGUACCGUUCGAAUAGGGCGGCACCUUGACGGUACCUAACCAGAAAGCCACGGCUAACUACGUGCCAGCAGCCGCGGUAAUACGUAGGUGGCAAGCGUUGUCCGGAAUUAUUGGGCGUAAAGCGCGCGCAGGCGGUUUCUUAAGUCUGAUGUGAAAGCCCCCGGCUCAACCGGGGAGGGUCAUUGGAAACUGGGGAACUUGAGUGCAGAAGAGGAGAGUGGAAUUCCACGUGUAGCGGUGAAAUGCGUAGAGAUGUGGAGGAACACCAGUGGCGAAGGCGACUCUCUGGUCUGUAACUGACGCUGAGGCGCGAAAGCGUGGGGAGCGAACAGGAUUAGAUACCCUGGUAGUCCACGCCGUAAACGAUGAGUGCUAAGUGUUAGAGGGUUUCCGCCCUUUAGUGCUGCAGCAAACGCAUUAAGCACUCCGCCUGGGGAGUACGGUCGCAAGACUGAAACUCAAAGGAAUUGACGGGGGCCCGCACAAGCGGUGGAGCAUGUGGUUUAAUUCGAAGCAACGCGAAGAACCUUACCAGGUCUUGACAUCCUCUGACAACCCUAGAGAUAGGGCUUUCUCCUUCGGGGGCAGAGUGACAGGUGGUGCAUGGGUGUCGUCAGCUCGUGUCGUGAGAUGUUGGGGUUAAGUCCCGCAACGAGCGCAACCCUUGAUCUAGUGCAGCAUUCAGUUGGGCACCUCUAAGGUGACUGCGUGACAAUGGAGGA
Molecule: ribosomal RNA, 1138 nt
Filed under: Bacillus licheniformis
Lineage: Bacteria; Bacillati; Bacillota; Bacilli; Caryophanales; Bacillaceae
Description: bacterial SSU rRNA
Rfam family: Bacterial small subunit ribosomal RNA
Source: RNAcentral